RNAcentral lists this ribosomal RNA (1648 nucleotides) under Campylobacter jejuni. RNAcentral describes it as "partial 23S ribosomal RNA". It matches the Rfam family "Bacterial large subunit ribosomal RNA", at positions 1 to 1667 of the family's 2925-position model. Lineage: Bacteria; Pseudomonadati; Campylobacterota; Epsilonproteobacteria; Campylobacterales; Campylobacteraceae. The record is from RNAcentral.
AGGUAAGCUACUAAGAGCGAAUGGUGGAUGCCUUGACUGGUAAAGGCGAUGAAGGACGUACUAGACUGCGAUAAGCUACGGGGAGCUGUCAAGAAGCUUUGAUCCGUAGAUUUCCGAAUGGGUCAACCCAAUGUAUAGAGAUAUACAUUACCUAUAUAGGAGCGAACGAGGGGAAUUGAAACAUCUUAGUACCCUCAGGAAAAGAAAUCAAUAGAGAUUGCGUCAGUAGCGGCGAGCGAAAGCGCAAGAGGGCAAACCCAGUGCUUGCACUGGGGGUUGUAGGACUGCAAUGUGCAAGAGGUAAGUUUAGCAGAACAUUCUGGAAAGUAUAACCAUAGAGGGUGAUAGUCCCGUAUGCGAAAAACAAACCUUAGCUAGCAGUAUCCUGAGUAGGGCGGGACACGAGGAAUCCUGUCUGAAUCCGGGUCGACCACGAUCCAACCCUAAAUACUAAUACCAGAUCGAUAGUGCACAAGUACCGUGAGGGAAAGGUGAAAAGAACUGAGGUGAUCAGAGUGAAAUAGAACCUGAAACCAUUUGCUUACAAUCAUUCAGAGCCCUAUGUAGCAAUACAGGGUGAUGGACUGCCUUUUGCAUAAUGAGCCUGCGAGUUGUGGUGUCUGGCAAGGUUAAGCAAACGCGAAGCCGUAGCGAAAGCGAGUCUGAAUAGGGCGCUUAGUCAGAUGCUGCAGACCCGAAACGAAGUGAUCUAUCCAUGAGCAAGUUGAAGCUAGUGUAAGAACUAGUGGAGGACUGAACCCAUAGGCGUUGAAAAGCCCCGGGAUGACUUGUGGAUAGGGGUGAAAGGCCAAUCAAACUUCGUGAUAGCUGGUUCUCUCCGAAAUAUAUUUAGGUAUAGCGUUGUGUCGUAAUAUAAGGGGGUAGAGCACUGAAUGGGCUAGGGCAUACACCAAUGUACCAAACCCUAUCAAACUCCGAAUACCUUAUAUGUAAUCACAGCAGUCAGGCGGCGAGUGAUAAAAUCCGUCGUCAAGAGGGAAACAACCCAGACUACCAGCUAAGGUCCCUAAAUCUUACUUAAGUGGAAAACGAUGUGAAGUUACUUAAACAACCAGGAGGUUGGCUUAGAAGCAGCCAUCCUUUAAAGAAAGCGUAAUAGCUCACUGGUCUAGUGAUUUUGCGCGGAAAAUAUAACGGGGCUAAAGUAAGUACCGAAGCUGUAGACUUAGUUUACUAAGUGGUAGGAGAGCGUUCUAUUUGCGUCGAAGGUAUACCGGUAAGGAGUGCUGGAGCGAAUAGAAGUGAGCAUGCAGGCAUGAGUAGCGAUAAUUAAUGUGAGAAUCAUUAACGCCGUAAACCCAAGGUUUCCUACGCGAUGCUCGUCAUCGUAGGGUUAGUCGGGUCCUAAGUCGAGUCCGAAAGGGGUAGACGAUGGCAAAUUGGUUAAUAUUCCAAUACCAACAUUAGUGUGCGAUGGAAGGACGCUUAGGGCUAAGGGGGCUAGCGGAUGGAAGUGCUAGUCUAAGGUCGUAGGAGGUUGUACAGGCAAAUCCGUAUAACAAUACUCCGAGAACUGAAAGGCUUUUUGAAGUCUUCGGAUGGAUAGAAGAACCCCUGAUGCCGUCGAGCCAAGAAAAGUUUCUAAGUUUAGCUAAUGUUGCCCGUACCGUAAACCGACACAGGUGGG